UAUAUAUAUAUAUAUAUAAAAGCUAAGUGUUGAGAAUUCAGAAAACUACAGAUUAUAAGGCCUUGAGAAAAAGCUGCUCAUAUUCAGGUAACUCUCUUUACUAAAGAAAAAACUAAUGAAAAACAGGUAACUAAGACAUCGGGGAAAAUAACAUUGCAACUGACUUGAGUGGGAUGCACCAGCACUUUGAAGAAGUGCAAAUCAAAGGCGAUGCAUGAGAAACAAGUAGCAAGCUACUUUGAUGGUUCUCUCCCUCAAAAUAUUAAUUUAAUAUCGUGUGAACUAAUAGUUCACAUAUCAGAUAUUAAACUGAUAAGAACAGAUACUACACUUGAUCUUAGCCAAAAGGCCGAGAA
Molecule: long non-coding RNA, 356 nt
Filed under: Vigna radiata
Lineage: Eukaryota; Viridiplantae; Streptophyta; Magnoliopsida; Fabales; Fabaceae
Description: long non-coding RNA (VRAD_LNC011087)
Source: RNAcentral